Molecule: ribosomal RNA, 253 nt
Filed under: uncultured bacterium
Lineage: Bacteria
Description: partial 16S ribosomal RNA
Rfam family: Bacterial small subunit ribosomal RNA
Source: RNAcentral
UACAGAGGUCCCAAGCGUUGUUCGGAUUCACUGGGCGUAAAGCGCGCGCAGGCGGUCUGCUAAGUUUGGAGUGACAGUUGGUGGCUUAACUGCCAAAGUGCUUCGAAAACUGACAGACUUGAGGGCUUCAGAGGGACACGGAAUUCCGGGUGGAGUGGUGAAAUGCGUAGAGAUCCGGAGGAACACCAAAGGCGAAGGCAGUGUCCUGGGGAGUACCUGACGCUCAGGUGCGAAAGCCAGGGGAGCGAACGGG